Long non-coding RNA from Clarias gariepinus (North African catfish), 669 nucleotides. RefSeq lists it as uncharacterized. The transcript is spliced from 3 exons. The record is from RefSeq and is a predicted model, not a curated record. Lineage: Eukaryota; Metazoa; Chordata; Actinopteri; Siluriformes; Clariidae.
CUAUGUGGUAGAAAAAUGCUUUUAUAGACUGGACCAGACUGAUGUGUAGCUGUGGAUAUGAUGUCUGAGUCAGUCACUAAUAAACAGGCUAACAAUAUUAACGUAUUCUGCAGAUUUAUGUCUCAGCUCAUAUUAUGUUACUAAUGCCUUAUAGCUUUAUGAUUCUGUGUAGUCAAGUUUGUUUAAGUCAAACCGGGACUUUUGAUUGAGAAGAAUAAAAGAACAGUUAUGAGAGUAAAAACUACCUUUCUUUUUCUAUAUAGUGCAUGCUAUACAAAUGCACUUGAAUAGGUGGAAAUGGAUUGGAGCAAGGUCAGGACUGUACGACAGAUGUGGCAAUCACUCCUAGCUGAGUUCCUGAAAUGGGCAAAGUGUGUUCAUGAAUGAUUGUCUGUACAGCUUCCGCGGACAGAGGCAUUUUUUCCACAAUGAAUGAGUUACAUGAGCGUGUUGCAUUUAUUGCGUGGCCGGAGAGGACUACUGAGGCAUGAGUUAUUUGGAGUGUCUGGCAGGCUCAACUAUCAUCUCCCAGUGCUCUUGCUACCAGUGAGUGGUGGAGGCGAGAAUGUGCUACCUGCUGCAUGCUGUGCAUGGAUUGCUGCAGGAAGUUGAGCUGGUGCUCAUGACUGUGCUCCUCUUCAGGGUGCUGCAUUUUUCCCUGCUCCUUUU